UCAGCAAACGAGGAUUCAGUGUCCGCUCCUUUGGGACAGGGACCCACGUGAAGCUGCCAGGACCAGCCCCGGACAAGCCGAAUGUUUAUGAUUUCAAAACAACAUAUGAUCAGAUGUACAAUGAUCUGCUUAGGAAAGACAAAGAACUAUACACACAGAAUGGGAUUUUACACAUGUUGGACAGAAAUAAGAGAAUCAAGCCACGACCAGAAAGAUUCCAGAACUGCAAAGAUGUUUUUGAUUUGAUCCUAACGUGUGAAGAGAGAGUCUAUGAUCAAGUAGUAGAAGAUUUAAAUUCCAGAGAGCAGGAGACGUGUCAGCCAGUACAUGUGAUCAAUGUGGACAUUCAGGAUAACCACGAGGAGGCCACCCUGGGGGCUUUCCUCAUCUGUGAGCUCUGCCAGUGUAUACAGCACACAGAGGACAUGGAAAACGAAAUAGAUGAGCUGUUACAGGAAUUUGAAGAGAAAAGUGGAAGGACUUUUCUUCAUACUGUCUGCUUUUAUUAAAGCACAUCUGUCUCCUAGGCCUUAAUACAGAUGAGGGAAGCAUGUGUUUAAAGUUCUGAUUAUACUGUAUUUUCCUGGAAAAUUAAUAUUGAUUUUUUUUUUUCUGUUUGUUUGUUUAAAAACUCCUUUUCAGUGUCUUUUUGUUUUGUUUCAGGUAUUCUGUCACAGGUAGGCAGAGAUACUGGUUAGGUUUGUACAUAUGAGAUGAUUAAAAGUAUACACAAAGGCCACCUAUUUAAAAAUCAAGAUUUUCUUUAAAUCCUACUUUAAUUAUUACAAGUAGGCUUUUAAUUAUAAAGAGAAUGUUUCUUGAAUAUAAGUUUAUAAUGUAUUUUUCCAGCUUACAAAUUUAUUUUAUUUCAGUUGUGCUUUUUUUUUAUGUUAAUGUGACAGAAUGGCUGAACCACGUGAGGAUGUGAAUGGAAUAAUGAAAACCAAGUAUCUGUAUAUUAUUAGAUAUAAAGUUGGAAGCAUCCAAUAAAA
Chaetura pelagica (chimney swift) is the source of this 992-nucleotide RNA transcript. It is a transcript of the gene named SSU72 RNA polymerase II CTD phosphatase homolog (S. cerevisiae), with no coding region annotated. The transcript is spliced from 4 exons. NCBI's taxonomy places the organism in Eukaryota, Metazoa, Chordata, Aves, Apodiformes, Apodidae. The record is from RefSeq and is a predicted model, not a curated record.